Molecule: long non-coding RNA, 1241 nt
Organism: Synchiropus splendidus (mandarinfish)
Lineage: Eukaryota; Metazoa; Chordata; Actinopteri; Syngnathiformes; Callionymidae
Exons: 3
Source: RefSeq, a predicted model, not a curated record
ACAACCCGCGGAUAGCACCCCGGACACCAACGUCGACUUGCGCCGCAUCACCCCCUGACCAAACCCUGCCUCUACCCCCUGCCCCCGAGCGCUCUGUCACAGCUACCCAAGACAGACCCCACGCUCCAGUGUCGCCGACCCUAUUAGCGUUCCAUGAUGCAACGGCUGUAAAACAACAGCUUGAAUUCAGAGUACGUACGCUUGAACGUCGUCUUCAUCAGAGUGAAAUACAGAGUCGUCGUCUAGCACGUCAAGCGCGUCAAGCACGUAAAUACCGCCGUUCUGCGAGAAAUAUACGUGAAGAAUUCAUCUUUAAGGACGUCACGAAUAAAGCGCUGGUGUCUGAAGUUCUGAGACUCCUAAAACAACAAGGACCUGGUGGUAACAGACGUCGUGGACUGAUCUGACUGAAGUUCGACCCCAGUAAGGUCCAUUUGGAUCCUCAUUAUUUAAAAGCAGUGAUGGGUGAUUACGGUUUGAGGUUGCUGUUGCACUGCGGGUGAUUGUGUUUUGAGGUCGCUGUUGCAUCGCGGGUGAUUGUGUUUUGAGACUGUUGUUUUGUUUAUUAAAUGUUUUUUAAUUAUUAUUUUAUUGUUAUUGUUAUUAUUGUUAUUACGCUAUGGCCAACCAUGAUGGUUUUCCUUCCGGUUCUGACCCUGAAUCCACACACAACCAGGACACUACACCAAACCUCAUUGACCAGAGUGCUUCACCAACACGUAUGUUUCUGUCUCACUUGUUUGACAACGUGUCUGAGGAGGAUGUAGUGCAGGUCUAUGAUCCGAGUAUAAAUGAAAACAUGGAGUCAAUUUUUUUCGGCGAGAGAGAGGAUAACCGAAUUUUAAAUAUGGUUCCUGCAUCAUCUCGUGAGGGUAGGGCUGAUACCUCUUUAGACAAUGGCGAUCGGUUAGAAAGGUUUGUUGAUAAUCUGCAGACGACUGAUUCAGGGACAACUGCUCUUGACCCUCUGGUAGAUGUGUCUGACUCUAACUGUAGUGAUGACAAUGUUGAUGAUGACGGUGAUUCGCUUCAGGAAGGAUGUUGUAUUAGAGGUACCGGUAUUGAAUCAGAAGUCAUAGAGCCUUUUAACACCGAUAGGAUAAGAAGGGUGCUAACACGUCCUGCUGUACCGGACACUCCUGAUUUAGCUACUUUCUACAGAGGUUGGAUGCAACAGGUCAGGGAGUUGGCUGAUGAAGCGCAGAGACUGGCAGAUCGAGAGGAUGUGGUUCAGCUUGAAG